AUGGAGCCAAUCCAUAACGUGCAAAUGCACAUGUCCCAUGGAGGAUUUGGUACACCGAAAAACAACACAAACAUACCUCUUUCUUGUACGUCUUUUACACCUGAAUGUGAUGAGCAUCUGAAGCCUAAAGUAGGGUUAGUGAGGGCAAAGAAUACUUUAUAUACAUGUCAUAAGGCAAGCAUUGGAACCUCCCGAGCAUACAGGCUAUUACAAGUUAGUGAGGGUGAGAUUCCGAAUGUUGGGUGCCUCAAGAGGGACUUGCAGAAUUACUACCGCGGACUCAAGUAUAAAAUCAGAGAUGCGGAUGCUCAAAUGUUUGUGGCCCAACUAGCUAGAAAGAAGGAAGUGAAUUCAGCAUUUUUCUAUGAUUUUGAUGUGGAUGAUGAGGGGAAGUUGAUGCAUGUAUUUUGGGCCGAUGCCACAAGUAGGAAGAACUAUAGUCACUUUGGUGAUGUGCUAUCCUUUGAUUCUGCGUACACCAUUAAUCAUUACAACAUGAUAUUUACAUCAUUUACAAGGGUCAAUCAUCACUUACAAAGUGUAUUUUUUGGUGCCGAAUUCUUAGCUGAUGAGAAGAAUGAGUCGUACAUUUGGUUAUUUCAGACCUUCCUAAGAGCAAUGGGAGGGGCAGCACCUACACUCAUCAUAACCAAUGAAGCCGCUAGCAUCAAGAAUGGUAUUGAUGAAGUUCUUCCAACCACUGUGCAUAGGUUGUGCAUGUGGCAUAUAAUGGAAAAGGUGCCCGAAAAGGUUGGACCUUUGAUUAGAGAAGAUUUUGAAUUUUGGACAAGAUUGAACUCAUGUGUUUGGGGCUCAGAAACUCCAACUGAGUUCGAGUCACAAUGGAAUUCCAUCAUUACAGGUUUUGGGUUGGAGGAAAAUGAGUGGUUGGCUAAGAGUUUUAGCAUCUGA
Molecule: ribosomal RNA, 912 nt
Filed under: Triticum aestivum (bread wheat)
Lineage: Eukaryota; Viridiplantae; Streptophyta; Magnoliopsida; Poales; Poaceae
Description: partial small subunit ribosomal RNA
Source: RNAcentral